Molecule: ribosomal RNA, 301 nt
Filed under: uncultured bacterium
Lineage: Bacteria
Description: partial 16S ribosomal RNA
Rfam family: Bacterial small subunit ribosomal RNA
Source: RNAcentral
CAGUCGCCGCGGUAAUACAGAGGGUGCGAGCGUUAAUCGGAUUUACUGGGCGUAAGCGUGCGUAGGCGGCUUCUUAAGUCGGAUGUGAAAUCCCUGAGCUUAACUUAGGAAUUGCAUUCGAUACUGGGAAGCUAGAGUAUGGGAGAGGAUGGUAGAAUUCCAGGUGUAGCGGUGAAAUGCGUAGAGAUCUGGAGGAAUACCGAUGGCGAAGGCAGCCAUCUGGCCUAAUACUGACGCUGAGGUACGAAAGCAUGGGGAGCAAACAGGAUUAGAUACCCCCGUAGUCCCUGUCUCUUAUACC